UGCUUACACAUGCAGUCGAACGGAGAACUUAGCAAUAGGUUCUUAGUGGCGAACGGGUGAGUAACGCGUAGACAACCUGCCUCAAAGAUGGGGACAACACCGCGAAAGUGGUGCUAAUACCGAAUGUUGCAUUAGAUUCGCAUGAAUCUGAUACUAAAGGUGGCCUCUUUAAAUGCUACCGCUUUGAGAUGGGUCUGCGUCUGAUUAGCUAGUUGGUGAGGUAACAGCUCACCAAGGCGAUGAUCAGUAGCCGGUCUGAGAGGAUGAACGGCCACACUGGGACUGAGACACGGCCCAGACUCCUACGGGAGGCAGCAGUGGGGAAUCUUCCGCAAUGGACGAAAGUCUGACGGAGCAACGCCGCGUGAGUGAAGAAGGUUUUCGGAUCGUAAAGCUCUGUCUUUGAGGACGAAUGUGCUUAAUGUAAAUAAUGUUAAGUAAUGACGGUACUCGAGGAGGAAGCCACGGCUAACUACGUGCCAGCAGCCGCGGUAAUACGUAGGUGGCAAGCGUUGUCCGGAAUUAUUGGGCGUAAAGCGCGCGCAGGCGGGAUAUUAAGUCUGUCUUAAAAGUUCGGGGCUCAACCCCGUGAUGGGAUGGAAACUAAUAUUCUUGAGUGCAGGAGAGGAAAGUGGAAUUCCCAGUGUAGCGGUGAAAUGCGUAGAUAUUGGGAGGAACACCAGUGGCGAAGGCGACUUUCUGGACUGUGUCUGACGCUGAGGCGCGAAAGCCAGGGGAGUGAACGGGAUUAGAUACCCCGGUAAUCCUGGCCGUAAACGAUGGGUACUAGGUGUAGGAGGUAUCGACCCCUUCUGUGCCGGAGUUAACGCAAUAAGUACCCCGCCUGGGAGUACGGCCGCAAGGUUGAAACUCAAAGGAAUUGACGGGGGCCCGCACAAGCGGUGGAGUAUGUGGUUUAAUUCGACGCAACGCGAAGAACCUUACCAGGACUUGACAUCGAUUGAAAGUUCUAGAGAUAGAACCCUUCUCUUCGGAGAACAGAGACAGUGGUGCAUGGCUGUCGUCAGCUCGUGUC
RNAcentral lists this ribosomal RNA (1036 nucleotides) under bacterium enrichment culture clone aHCH2_F3. RNAcentral's name for it is "bacterial SSU rRNA". It matches the Rfam family "Bacterial small subunit ribosomal RNA", at positions 45 to 1066 of the family's 1533-position model. The record is from RNAcentral.